CGCCCCUUUAACUGCUAUAAAUCUAAAAACUUGGCGAUUUAAUUCAUAACAAAAUCUACUAUCAAAAGAUAAAAUACUUACGGAAAACUAUUAUUUUUUAAACCAAGUAAAAAUGUCGAUAGUUUUGCCAUUCACAGACAAUUUAGUCAGUGGUGAGAUAUUAGAUCAUGUCCCGAGUGGGGUAUUAACAGAGAUAGUGACAUCCAUGUGUUUUAAAAAAGGAUAUACAUUGAAUGUAUAUGACUGUCCAUUAGUAUUGAACACUAACAAUAACAAAUAUGAAGAAUUACCAAAGUGAAUAUGCAUCGCUUGAAAAUGAAAAAGAUGGACCAAACAUCUUGACAACAUUAUCUUCAAGUUCUGAACUACAAGCUGACGAGACAAGCUGCUGAGAUCAGCUGUAUGACUCCACUUCUCUCGAUGUUCAUUUAUGGUGAUAGACCAUGUUGUACCAACAAAUACUAAAGUUUCGCAUCUGUGUGACGUGAAGGAUGGGAUUGAUAUGGAAUGAUGAUAUAAUUUGAAGAAAUAUCUUUGAUGAGAAAGUGGAAGUUAGAUAAACAAUUGAAACAAUCGAACUCUUAUUGACAAUGACUGUGAACUUGUAUUGAAUACAUUGUGAUACGUUGAAAUCCUGGACUUGAAUAUAUAAAAGACUGAGCCUUUUUCGUGUGUUCUGUGACAUUUUAACGGGUAAUUCAUUUAAGAAGUGUUCAUUUUACUUAUUUACAUGUACCAUUUUGAUAAAUUUGUUAUAUUAUUUUACUAUAUUGUCGUUUUACAUAGUUAUUAAUUUGUUUAUUGUUAAAAUAAAA
Molecule: long non-coding RNA, 815 nt
Filed under: Mytilus galloprovincialis (Mediterranean mussel)
Lineage: Eukaryota; Metazoa; Mollusca; Bivalvia; Mytilida; Mytilidae
Source: RNAcentral